AUGAACGCUGGCGGCGUGCUUCACACCUGCAAGUCGAACGGUGAACACGGAGCUUGCUCUGUGGGAUCAGUGGCGAACGGGUGAGUAACACGUGAGCAACCUGCCCCUGACUCUGGGAUAAGCGCUGGAAACGGCGUCUAAUACUGGAUAUGUGACGUGACCGCAUGGUCUGCGUUUGGAAAGAUUUUUCGGUUGGGGAUGGGCUCGCGGCCUAUCAGCUUGUUGGUGAGGUAAUGGCUCACCAAGGCGUCGACGGGUAGCCGGCCUGAGAGGGUGACCGGCCACACUGGGAUUGAGACACGGCCCAGACUCCUACGGGAGGCAGCAGUGGGGAAUAUUGCACAAUGGGCGAAAGCCUGAUGCAGCAACGCCGCGUGAGGGAUGACGGCCUUCGGGUUGUAAACCUUUUUUAGCAGGGAAGAAGCGAAAGUGACGGUACCUGCAGAAAAAGCGCCGGCUAACUACGUG
This 468-nucleotide ribosomal RNA is filed under the name uncultured bacterium. RNAcentral describes it as "partial 16S ribosomal RNA". It matches the Rfam family "Bacterial small subunit ribosomal RNA", at positions 29 to 507 of the family's 1533-position model. The record is from RNAcentral.